GUCUUUAAAAAUGGGGCAAAGGUGUACAGGCAAGGGAAGAGAUUAAUUUAAAUUUAAUUGAAAUCUAGACUGAAACAUAUAAAAUAGCUUAAUUAUUUUUCUCAUUUUCUGCGGUUUUCCAAUAAAAUAUUAAAUUUGCCAUCAGAAAAAAUAAUGGCAAAUGUGGAGAAAAUUAUGUCGUAUAAUAGGAGAUUAUUAUUAUUUUGAUUGUUUCUCCUUUGUGGCGUCUUUAACACGAUGCCACUCAAGGUGUUAAAAGCAAGCUCCUGCUCUUAGAAGAGGACCUGGAGGUAUUUGGUACUCCCCUGUGGAAACGGAAGUUGGAACAGAGGAAACAGAGGAAACAGAAAUUCCUUGAGCAACCACAAUUCUCGGUAGCACCAGUUGGUGGAUGGUUCCAAACCCUUUCAGUGUCAAACUCCUGGAGUGUUCCAUUUCCUGAGGGAAAUUCUAUGCCAUUUUCAUGGAUGCUCUUGGAGUUCCCAGCCAGUGUAGAGGCGGUACGUAAGCAAGCAGAAGAAAGCUGCAGGUUGUAGAAGCUCAGACACGUUUAGGUGACGGAAUCCUUCCCACUGGCCUUGUGAGGGAGCAUUUCAUCUUUAGCAUCAAGAGCUGACUUGGUUGGGCCCCCCAGUACAUAGUUGUAUAUUCUAGUUGUGAGUGCCUCUGGUUGUGCUAUGUGGGACGCCGCCUCAGCAUGGCUUGAUGAGCAGUGCCAUGUCUGUGCCCAGGGUCCGAACCUGUGAAAUCCUGGGCUGCUGAAGUGGAGCGCUCGAACUUAACCAC
RNAcentral lists this long non-coding RNA (786 nucleotides) under Equus caballus (horse). RNAcentral describes it as "lncRNA (ENSECAG00000057528.1)". Lineage: Eukaryota; Metazoa; Chordata; Mammalia; Perissodactyla; Equidae. The record is from RNAcentral.